Molecule: ribosomal RNA, 253 nt
Filed under: uncultured bacterium
Lineage: Bacteria
Description: partial 16S ribosomal RNA
Rfam family: Bacterial small subunit ribosomal RNA
Source: RNAcentral
CGUAAAGACGCAUGCAGGUGGUUUGUUAAGUUCAGAUGUGAAAGACCCGGGGCGUCAACCUCCGGAAUUAGCAUUUGUAAACUAGGCAGACUAGAGUACUGUAGAGGGGGGUAGGGAAUUUCUUAACGGUUAGUAGCGGUGAAAUAGCGUAGAGAUCUGAAGGAAUACCGGUGGCGAAGGCGGCCCCCUCGGACAGAUACUGACACUCAGAUGCGAAAGCGUGGGGAGCAAACAGGAUUAGAUACCCUGGUAG